UUUGAAUUUCGCGGCGAUAAU
This 21-nucleotide non-coding RNA is filed under the name Caenorhabditis elegans. Lineage: Eukaryota; Metazoa; Nematoda; Chromadorea; Rhabditida; Rhabditidae. The record is from RNAcentral.